This 1371-nucleotide long non-coding RNA is filed under the name Macaca fascicularis (crab-eating macaque). RNAcentral describes it as "lncRNA (ENSMFAG00000064408.1)". Lineage: Eukaryota; Metazoa; Chordata; Mammalia; Primates; Cercopithecidae. The record is from RNAcentral.
CCCUCCCGCCCCGCCCCCAGCGCGUGCCCGCCCGGCGCCCUCUAGGCUGGAAGGCUGCAGGAGCGCUACCGGUGCCAGAACUGCCAGAGCGGGAGGAGCGCGGCGCGGGCCAGCUGGGACUGCUGGACAGCGGGGUCCAGGCUAGAGGGGAGCGGUCAGUGACGGCUGUGGAGGAGGGAGGCGCUGAGCGUCAGCGCGGGAGUCGAGCCUGUGGGCCACUGAACUGGGGGGCUGGCCGAGGUGGGGCUCCCGCCCUGAGGGCGCGCCUUAGGGAGGGGACAGGGGCCGGCGGGACCCUGCUUUGUCUUAGUCGCACUGAGGUCCAUCUCCUAACAAAUUAUUGGAAGGAAUAUGAGAAAAGUAAGUAGGGAUUUUGAAGUAUCAGUUAAAAGAACCAAAAUUGUUUAUGUUUAGAACAUUGGUAGUUAAUUUGGUGAUGUUAUUUCUGGAUGUAUAAAGUUAAUUGGCAAGUGCUUAUCAAAUGCCUUUGUGUGUGUGUGUUGGGUGUGGAGGGUGUCUGUGACACGGAGUCUCAUUCACCCUGUCAGCCAGGCUGAAGUGUGGUGGCGCAAUCUCAGCUCACUGCAACCUCUGCCUCCCAGGUUCAAGCGAUUCUCCUGCCUCAACCUGCGUAGCUGGAGUUACAGGCACUUGCCACCACACCAGACUAAUUUUUUGUAUUUUUGGUACAGACAGGAUUUCACCAUGUUGGCCAGGCUGGCCUUGAACUCCUGACCUCAGGUGAUCUGCUCACCUCGGCCUCCUAAAGUGCUGGGAUUACAGGUGUGAGCCACCAUGCCCGGCUCCCAAAUGUUCGUUUUUGAGGAAUAUAUUUAUUAAUAGAUUCUGAGAGGUCUACACAGGUGGUAGUCCAUCACCACAAACACUGACAAUAUAAUAAACCAAGAGAUGCUAUUUUUUAAAAAUCUCUAUAGGACUGUGAAAGGGAAGAGAAGCCAGCUAUUACCCUAAUGCCUAUGAUGUGUGUCAGGUGCUGGGGGUGAUUUUCACUUAUCCUAUAGCUUGUUUACCCUCCCAACAAACUUGAAAGGCAGAAGUUAUUUGUUUGUUUGUUUGUUUAUUUUGAGGGUCUCACUGUUGCCCAGGCUAGAGUGCAGUAGUGUGAUCACGGCUCACUGCAGCCUUGACCUGGGCUCAAGUGAGCCUCCUGCCUCAGCCUCCCGAGUAACUGGGACCACAGGUGCAUGCCACCAUGUCCAGCUAAUUUUUUUUCUUUUUAAGAAAUGCAGAGUCUCACCAUGUUGCUCAGGCUGGUCUCAGACUCCUGGACUCAAGCCAUCCUCCUGCCUCUGCCUCUCAAAGUGCUGAGAUUACAGGUGUGAGCCACUGCACUAGGGUUAAAGUGUAAGU